This 247-nucleotide ribosomal RNA is filed under the name uncultured bacterium. RNAcentral describes it as "partial 16S ribosomal RNA". It matches the Rfam family "Bacterial small subunit ribosomal RNA", at positions 523 to 769 of the family's 1533-position model. The record is from RNAcentral.
AUACGGAGGGGGCAAGCGUUACUCGGAAUUAUUGGGCGUAAAGGGCGCGUAGGCGGUUCCGUGCGUCGGAGGUGAAAUCCCCGGGCUUAACCCGGGAGCUGCCUCCGAUACGGCGGGACUUGAGUCCGGGAGAGGGGAGCAGAAUUCCCAGUGUAGCGGUGAAAUGCGUAGAUAUUGGGAGGAAUACCAGUGGCGAAGGCGGCUCCCUGGACCGGUACUGACGCUGAGGCGCGAAAGCGUGGGUAGC